UCCCUGGUGGUCCAGUGGUUAGGACUCUGAGCUUCCAAUACAGGGGCAUGGGUUUGAUCCCUGCUCUGGGAA
RNAcentral lists this transfer RNA (72 nucleotides) under Bos taurus (domestic cattle). It matches the Rfam family "tRNA". Rfam says of the family: Transfer RNA (tRNA) molecules are approximately 80 nucleotides in length. Their secondary structure includes four short double-helical elements and three loops (D, anti-codon, and T loops). Lineage: Eukaryota; Metazoa; Chordata; Mammalia; Artiodactyla; Bovidae. The record is from Rfam by way of RNAcentral. RNAcentral also lists the same sequence under 5 other names.